UCUACUAACAUUUCAAAAAUUGUAUUGAGAGGGAGGACUCAAGAUGGCGCUGUGAGAACAACCCAGGAUUGGAGUUGUCGUUGUGUCUGUGGAGAGGUGAGUCUGAGCUGCAUUUCCAGACUGAUCUUUGUUGCUCACGGAACGGGGAAAUUCCCAAGUGAAGAGGAGACGCGGGACGCAAGGCAGAUAUUACGCCUGGCGAAGCCGGCAGCCGGGGUGGCGGCGGCCGGCCCUACCCAGUGCUCCCCACAGGGCGCACUUGUCCGGGUGCCCCGUUGAACCAGCAACUGGAGACGUGAGAGGGCUGGACUUGAGACUGAGCUAGACUUGAACAGUGGGCCAGCCCAGGGGAUUGCAGGAAUAGAGCGUUAGGAUUGGCCCAGUGGGACGAACAAAACCGCGAUUUCAAACAAGCCCCAUGCAGACGGCCCAAGACGCUCUGAGGGGGAGGGGCGGCCACCAUUACCGAGGUAACCCGUCCCUACUGAGAUACACGCCCACUGCUGACGCAGCCUGCCGUCGCCGAGGCAACCCACUACAAC
This 542-nucleotide long non-coding RNA is filed under the name Callithrix jacchus (white-tufted-ear marmoset). Its description in RNAcentral is "lncRNA (ENSCJAG00000068993.2)". The record is from RNAcentral. Lineage: Eukaryota; Metazoa; Chordata; Mammalia; Primates; Cebidae.